RNAcentral lists this ribosomal RNA (497 nucleotides) under uncultured bacterium. RNAcentral's name for it is "partial 16S ribosomal RNA". It matches the Rfam family "Bacterial small subunit ribosomal RNA", at positions 28 to 507 of the family's 1533-position model. The record is from RNAcentral.
GACGAACGCUGGCGGCGUGCCUAAUACAUACAAGUUGAGCGAUGAAGCUUGGUGCUUGCACCAAUUUGAAGAGCAGCGAACGGGUGAGUAACGCGUGGGGAAUCUGCCUUUGAGCGGGGGCCAACAUUUGGAAACGAAUGCUAAUACCGCAUAACAACUUUAAACAUAAGUUUUAAGUUUGAAAGAUGCAAUUGCAUCACUCAAAGAUGAUCCCGCGUUGUAUUAGCUAGUUGGUGAGGUAAAGGCUCACCAAGGCGAUGAUACAUAGCCGACCUGAGAGGGUGAUCGGCCACAUUGGGACUGAGACACGGCCCAAACUCCUACGGGAGGCAGCAGUAGGGAAUCUUCGGCAAUGGACGAAAGUCUGACCGAGCAACGCCGCGUGAGUGAAGAAGGUUUUCGGAUCGUAAAACUCUGUUGGUAGAGAAGAACGUUGGUGAGAGUGGAAAGCUCAUCAAGUGACGGUAACUACCCAGAAAGGGACGGCUAACUACGUG